AACGAACGCUGGCGGCAGGCUUAACACAUGCAAGUCGAGCGCCCCGCAAGGGGAGCGGCAGACGGGUGAGUAACGCGUGGGAAUGUACCCUUUGCUACGGAACAGCUCCGGGAAACUGGAAUUAAUACCGUAUGUGCCCUUCGGGGGAAAGAUUUAUCGGCAAAGGAUCAGCCCGCGUUGGAUUAGCUAGUUGGUGAGGU
Molecule: ribosomal RNA, 200 nt
Filed under: uncultured bacterium
Lineage: Bacteria
Description: partial 16S ribosomal RNA
Rfam family: Bacterial small subunit ribosomal RNA
Source: RNAcentral